Molecule: ribosomal RNA, 481 nt
Filed under: uncultured bacterium
Lineage: Bacteria
Description: partial 16S ribosomal RNA
Rfam family: Bacterial small subunit ribosomal RNA
Source: RNAcentral
GACGAACGUUGGCGGCGUGCUUAAUACAUGCAAGUCCACUGAAGCAGUGGUAGCAAUAUCGCUGUGGAGGUGGCGCACGGGUGAGUAACACGUAGGUAAUCUGCCUUCAGGUCUGGCAUAACUCCGGGAAACCGGGGCUAAUAGCAGAUGAUGCAGCGGCUCGACAUCGAGACAGUUGUUAAAGCUAUGGCGCCUGAAGAUGAGCCUGCGUCUGAUUAGCUAGUUGGCGGGGUAACGGCCCACCAAGGCAACGAUCAGUAGCUGGUCUGAGAGGAUGAUCAGCCACACUGGAACUGAGACACGGUCCAGACUCCUACGGGAGGCAGCAGUAAGGAAUAUUGCUCAAUGGGAGAAAUCCUGAAGCAGCAACGCCGCGUGAGGGACGAAGGGCUUUUGCUUGCAAACCUCUGUAGUGAGAGAAAAAAAUCCCAAUCUUUGGGACAUGAUGGUAUCUCAAAAGUAAGCCCCGGCUAACUACGUG